Molecule: long non-coding RNA, 246 nt
Organism: Vidua macroura (Pin-tailed whydah)
Lineage: Eukaryota; Metazoa; Chordata; Aves; Passeriformes; Viduidae
Exons: 2
Source: RefSeq, a predicted model, not a curated record
CCCUCACUUGCCAAAGCUGGCAUCUUCCCCGCUUGCACAGGUCCCACACUGGAGCAUUCCCAACCUAUCCCUCGUGCUUCACCAACCACUUUAAAAAUAGACAACAACUUCACUAGUAUAGCUAAGUUACAUCAAAGAAAGAAUUGGUGUACUGAAUGUGAAGAAGCUGGCCAAUUCCCCAGGCUCACAGAUUUUUGUCUUUUGCUUUUGAGGAAACCCCUAUACAUAAAGGAAAAUAGUAUCUGA